CAGCAGCCGCGGUAAUACGAAGGUCCCGAGCGUUGUUCGGAAUCACUGGGCGUAAAGGGAGCGUAGGCGGCGUGGUAAGUCAGAUGUGAAAUCCCGGGGCUCAACCCCGGAACUGCAUCCGAUACUGCCAUGCUAGAGGAUUGGAGAGGUAGCUGGAAUUCUUGGUGUAGCAGUGAAAUGCGUGGAGAUCAAGAGGAACACUCGUGGCGAAAGCGAGCUACUGGACAAUAACUGACGCUGAGGCUCGAAGGCCAGGGUAGCGAAAGGGAUUAGAUACCCGGGUAGUCCCUGUCUCUUAUAC
Molecule: ribosomal RNA, 301 nt
Filed under: uncultured bacterium
Lineage: Bacteria
Description: partial 16S ribosomal RNA
Rfam family: Bacterial small subunit ribosomal RNA
Source: RNAcentral